RNAcentral lists this long non-coding RNA (1089 nucleotides) under Rattus norvegicus (Norway rat). RNAcentral's name for it is "long non-coding RNA NONRATT024967". The record is from RNAcentral. Lineage: Eukaryota; Metazoa; Chordata; Mammalia; Rodentia; Muridae.
UUGCAAACAGCAGGACAGAUGCUCAGAGCUUUCUGUCCCUCAUCUAGAGAUCUUUGUAUCUCACUGCUGGUUUUUCCACACUGUGCUGUGCUAACUCAAUACACAUGCUUUAUGCAUUUUCAGUGGAGUGACCAAGGACAUAGCUGUACCCCUGUCCACACUUCCCACCCACAACUGGGCAAUUUUAAUCCGCCCUGUACUGGACACGGAUAAUACUUUGUUUGAACCACAUAACAUUUUGUUUAGUUUCACUAAAAAAGUAAAAAGGAAUAAAAGAGGAACUUGCUUUUCUAUACCAAAGCGCACACUCCACACAGUAGGCUGAUGGCAAAAAUAAAAAACAGUGACCAUGAAUCAGUUUUCCAUGUACCAAAAGGGUGGUGGCCUUAUAAAGAGAAAAUUAUUUUCCUAGAAAAGCAUACUUUGCUCUCAGAACAAGAUUACACAGACAAUGACUAGCUUCCUAUCUCCUCAUGAAGGAAUUACAUUGUAACCACUGUAUUCAUAGCUAGUUCUCGUGGUAAUUCUGAGAACACAUAAUGUGAAAUUUGAAUAAUUUCUGUUGGAAUACAAUAGAAUGUCAAUUUCUGUGUAGAUGGACACAGGAAAUCUCACAGUAAGCUAGUAGACUGUUGGGGGAGGGCUUUGUAAUGAGAGAAAAGGAUAAAUUAGAAUACAGUCCAAGCUUCACAUGCCACGAUGUUCACCCUUCUAUGUUAACUAUAAACUCUUUGGGUCUUGCCACAUAAGUAUGUACCAUGCAUCUGCAUUACGAAUUAAUCUAAGCCAAGUAAAAUCACUACAGACAUUGACAAAUUGUCUAACUUUAUCUUUGGGUUAAUAUCUCAUGUCUUUAAAAUUGUUUCUUGAGUGGUGGCCAAAAUAAAAUAUAUAUAUAUGUAAGCUAUUUUAUAUAUACAUAUGUUAUAUCUAUGUAAGGUAUACAUCUAUAUAGAUGUAUGUAUAAUAUAUUACAAAAUUAUGUAAUAUAAUCCAUAUGUGUACAUGUGUGUAUAUAUGCAUAUGUGUGUAUGUGUAUAUAAUGUGCAUAUAUACAUUAGCUCUGGAAUAAAAUCGACUUAGCACCAU